RNAcentral lists this ribosomal RNA (910 nucleotides) under uncultured archaeon. RNAcentral's name for it is "bacterial SSU rRNA". It matches the Rfam family "Archaeal small subunit ribosomal RNA", at positions 1 to 911 of the family's 1478-position model. The record is from RNAcentral.
GCGCUGCAGAUCUGGUUGAUCCUGCCGGACCCGACUGCUAUCAGAGUGGGACUAAGCCCUGCGAGUCAACAUAGCAAUAUGUGGCAUACGGCUCAGUAACACGUAGUCAACAUGCCCAGGGGACGUGGAUAACCUCGGGAAACUGAGGAUAAACCGCGAUAAGUCACUACUUCUGGAAUGGGUAAUGACUUAAAUCUAUAUGGCCCCUGGAUUGGACUGCGGCCGAUCAGGCUGUUGGUGAGGUAAUGGCCCACCAAACCUGUAACCGGUACGGGCUCUGAGAGGAGGAGCCCGGAGAUGGGCACUGAGACAAGGGCCCAGGCCCUAUGGGGCGCAGCAGGCGCGAAACCUCUGCAAUAGGCGAAAGCCUGACAGGGUUACUCUGAGUGAUUUCCGUUAAGGAGAUCUUUUGGCACCUCUAAAAAUGGUGCAGAAUAAGGGGUGGGCAAGUCUGGUGUCAGCCGCCGCGGUAAUACCAGCACCCCGAGUGGUCGGGACGUUUAUUGGGCCUAAAGCAUCCGUAGCCGGUUCUGCAAGUCUUCCGUUAAAUCCACCUGCUUAACAGAUGGGCCGCGGAAGAUACUAUAGAGCUAGGAGGCGGGAGAGGCAAGCGGUACUCGAUGGGUAGGGGUAAAAUCCGUUGAUCCAUUGAAGACCACCAGUGGCGAAGGCGGCUUGCCAGAACGCGCUCGACGGUGAGGGAUGAAAGCUGGGGGAGCAAACCGGAUUAGAUACCCGGGUAGUCCCAGCUGUAAACGAUGCAGACUCGGUGAUGAAUUGGCUUUAUGCCUAUUCAGUGCCGCAGGGAAGCCGUUAAGUUUGCCGCCUGGGGAGUACGGUCGCAAGACUGAAACUUAAAGGAAUUGGCGGGGGAGCACCACAAGGGGUGAAGCCUGCGGUUCAAUUGGAU